GGUGGCUCAGUGGUAGAGUGCUUGCUUUGCAUGCAUGAGGUCCUGGGUUCAAUUCCUCAGCACCA
Non-coding RNA from Dipodomys ordii (Ord's kangaroo rat), 65 nucleotides. The record is from Rfam. NCBI's taxonomy places the organism in Eukaryota, Metazoa, Chordata, Mammalia, Rodentia, Heteromyidae.